RNAcentral lists this long non-coding RNA (777 nucleotides) under Ailuropoda melanoleuca (giant panda). Its description in RNAcentral is "lncRNA (ENSAMEG00000028937.1)". The record is from RNAcentral. Lineage: Eukaryota; Metazoa; Chordata; Mammalia; Carnivora; Ursidae.
GGCAGUUGGAAUAAGUUAAGCUCUACUCAGAUGGCUAAAGCUUUUUGCUAAUAUUUGUGGAGAAGACACUGAAGAUUUUUUGUUUGUUCAAUUACCAAACACUUCCUUUUUUUUUUUUUCCUGAUAAGAAACAUUUCCUUGAAGUCUGCAUUUUAAAGAAUGACUCAGGUCCUGUAGAAGAUGGGGACAGAAAAUUUAUAUCACAGAAGCACAGAGAAAGUAUCCAAGAUUUCUUCUAAACGAAGUUUUGGGGGCAUAUUUGCCUAACAUCAGAGUAAAGAUGCUGCUGUUCCAUGUUCAGUUCUCAUCUUUCCAAGACUGUGCUGCUCGAGGAGAUCUGCCCUGUGGAAGGCGAACUGUGAUCUAGAUUAUUGGUCAAACGAAGUCAACCGGUAAGUCCUUCUCUGCGAGUUUAAUAUUUUGUUUCAAAAAUGUACCAAACCACUACAAAGGCCACCUCAGUACCCAUUGCCCCUGCCUGAAGACAUGAAGUGAAACCUCUUAACAGUCAAAAGCAAAGGUUAACGAUUUCUAGAACUUUUUAGGCUGUUCUGAUAUGUCUGUUCUAUCAAGAUGGCACUUCAGGUGAUGUCUAAUUGUGGAUGGAGAAAUUUAACGUUAUUGGUUUUAUCUCAACAUCUGUUGAGUCUUAACGGUCUGUGAGAAAGACUUGAUAGGGCUCUGGAGUUCACCACCUUUCUUCAGCAAGGUUUUCCCUCUUCUCCUCUCAGGAUACAUGCUUUCAUGCAGAAUCUUAGCGUUUCUUUGUUAGUCGUU